RNAcentral lists this ribosomal RNA (253 nucleotides) under uncultured bacterium. Its description in RNAcentral is "partial 16S ribosomal RNA". It matches the Rfam family "Bacterial small subunit ribosomal RNA", at positions 524 to 776 of the family's 1533-position model. The record is from RNAcentral.
GACGAACCGUGCGAACGUUGUUCGGAAUCACUGGGCUUAAAGGGCGCGUAGGCGGGUGACCAAGUCAGGGGUGAAAUCUUUCGGCUCAACCGGAAAAGUGCCUCUGAUACUGGUCGUCUUGAGGGAGGUAGGGGUCGAGGGAACUGUAGGUGGAGCGGUGAAAUGCGUUGAUAUCUACAGGAACUCCGGUGGCGAAGGCGGGUCUCUGGACAGUUCCUGACGCUGAGGCACGAAGGCCAGGGGAGCAAACGGG